This 72-nucleotide transfer RNA is filed under the name Pelodiscus sinensis (Chinese soft-shelled turtle). It matches the Rfam family "tRNA". Rfam says of the family: Transfer RNA (tRNA) molecules are approximately 80 nucleotides in length. Their secondary structure includes four short double-helical elements and three loops (D, anti-codon, and T loops). The record is from Rfam by way of RNAcentral. Lineage: Eukaryota; Metazoa; Chordata; Testudines; Trionychidae.
GGAGGAAUGGUCCAAUGGUUAGAACAUUCACUUUAGACUUGAGAGACCUACUUUCAAAUCUUUGUUCUGCUA